GUGCCAGCAGCCGCGGUAAGACGAACCGAGCGAACGUUGUUCGGAAUCACUGGGCUUAAAGGGCGCGUAGGCGGGUUGUCAAGUCUGGGGUGAAAUCCCGCGGCUCAACCGUGGAACUGCCUUAGAUACUGACGACCUCGAGGGAGGUAGGGGCGAGCGGAACGGGUGGUGGAGCGGUGAAAUGCGUUGAUAUCACUCGGAACUCCGGUGGCGAAAGCGGCUCGCUGGCCCUCUUCUGACGCUGAGGCGCGAAAGCUAGGGGAGCAAACGGGAUUAGAAACCCCAGUAGUCC
This 292-nucleotide ribosomal RNA is filed under the name uncultured bacterium. RNAcentral describes it as "partial 16S ribosomal RNA". It matches the Rfam family "Bacterial small subunit ribosomal RNA", at positions 505 to 796 of the family's 1533-position model. The record is from RNAcentral.